GAGAUCCCAAAGCAAUGGUUCAAUUUGAUUGACCUUGAUCAACUUCAUAAGAGAAUCAACAACGAUGUUGAGCUUACAGAUGUGUUUGGUUAUUUAACGGCUGUGCAGCCGAUUGAAGACGUGACUGUCCAAAAGUCAAGAAUUGCAAAGAAGAAGAAUCUUAACUUGCAAGAUAUCAGGGGCGAAACAAUUAGGAUCACCUUAUGGGGAGAAGCUGCAACAACUUUUGAGGACAGUGGAAUAAAAUCCCUUCCACCACCUAUCUUCGCUGCUGUAACAAGCCUCAAAGUCAAAGAAUACCAAGGAAACCCUGUUCUUGGAAGCACUGGAUCAACUAUUUAUAUUUUCAAUCCAGAGAUUCCGCAGCUCACCCAAUAC
Molecule: non-coding RNA, 378 nt
Organism: Malus domestica (apple)
Lineage: Eukaryota; Viridiplantae; Streptophyta; Magnoliopsida; Rosales; Rosaceae
Source: RefSeq, a predicted model, not a curated record